This 408-nucleotide ribosomal RNA is filed under the name Chondrula tridens. RNAcentral's name for it is "partial 16S ribosomal RNA". It matches the Rfam family "Bacterial large subunit ribosomal RNA", at positions 1860 to 2584 of the family's 2925-position model. The record is from RNAcentral. Lineage: Eukaryota; Metazoa; Mollusca; Gastropoda; Stylommatophora; Enidae.
UGCCCAGUGACUGAUUUUAACGGCCGCAGUACACUGACUGUGCUAAGGUAGCAUAAUAAUUUGUCUUUUAAUUGAAGACUGGCAUGAAUGGAAUUAUGGGUAAGCACUGUCUUAAAUAUAACUUAAUAAAAUUUAAUCAGAAGGUGAAAAAACCUUUAGUUUGUAGGUUAGACGAGAAGACCCUAAGAAUUAGGAAGAAAAUCCUAUAUAUAGGAUUUAUUUUUUGUUGGGGCAACAGAGUUAGAAGAUAAAACUGACUUUUUAAAAAAUAUUACUUUACUAACAUAAUUUUAAGAAAAGAAUUUAAUUACCUUAGGGAUAACAGCAUUAUUCAUUUAUGAGAAUAUGACCUCGAUGUUGGACUAGGAUAGCUCUUAAUUAGACAUUAAGGGUCAAGGUUCUGUUCGA